GAUGAACGCUGGCGGCGUGCCUAAUACAUGCAAGUCGAACGCAUAGCGAAAGGUGCUUGCACCCUUCAAGUGAGUGGCGAACGGGUGAGUAACACGUGGACAACCUGCCUCAAGGCUGGGGAUAACAUUUGGAAACAGAUGCUAAUACCGAAUAAAACUUAGUGUCGCAUGACACAAAGUUAAAAGGCGCUUCGGCGUCACCUAGAGAUGGAUCCGCGGUGCAUUAGUUAGUUGGUGGGGUAAAGGCCUACCAAGACAAUGAUGCAUAGCCGAGUUGAGAGACUGAUCGGCCACAUUGGGACUGAGAAACGGCCCAAACUCCUACGGGAGGCUGCAGUAGGGAAUCUUCCACAAAGGGCGAAAGCCUGAUGGAGCAACGCCGCGUGUGUGAUGAAGGCUUUCGGGUCGUAAAGCACUGUUGUAUGGGAAGAACAGCUAGAAUAGGAAAUGAUUUUAGUUUGACGGUACCAUACCAGAAAGGGACGGCUAAAUACGUG
RNAcentral lists this ribosomal RNA (497 nucleotides) under uncultured bacterium. RNAcentral's name for it is "partial 16S ribosomal RNA". It matches the Rfam family "Bacterial small subunit ribosomal RNA", at positions 28 to 507 of the family's 1533-position model. The record is from RNAcentral.